This 378-nucleotide unclassified non-coding RNA is filed under the name plant metagenome. RNAcentral's name for it is "partial contains 5.8S ribosomal RNA, internal transcribed spacer 2, and large subunit ribosomal RNA". The stretch from base 1 to 105 matches the Rfam family "5.8S ribosomal RNA", at positions 50 to 154 of the family's 154-position model. The record is from RNAcentral.
GAAAUGCGAUAAGUAAUGUGAAUUGCAGAAUUCAGUGAAUCAUCGAAUCUUUGAACGCACCUUGCGCUCCUUGGUAUUCCUUGGAGCAUGCCUGUUUGAGUAUCAUGAAAUCUUCAAAGUAAAUCUUUUGUUAACUCAAUUGGUUUCUACUUUGGUAUUGGAGGUCUUUGCAGCUUCACACCUGCUCCUCUGUGUUCAUUAGCUGGAUCUCAGUGUUAUGCUUGGUUCCACUCGGCGUGAUAAGUUAUCUAUCGCUGAGGACACUGUAAAAGGUGGCCAAGGUAAAUUCAGAUGAACCGCUUCUAAUAGUCCAUUGACUUGGACAAUACUUUUAUGAUCUGAUCUCAAAUCAGGUAGGACUACCCGCUGAACUUAAGC